Molecule: ribosomal RNA, 124 nt
Organism: Pteropus vampyrus (large flying fox)
Lineage: Eukaryota; Metazoa; Chordata; Mammalia; Chiroptera; Pteropodidae
Source: Ensembl
GUCUACGGCCAUGCCACUCUGAGCAAGCCUGAUCUCAUCUGAUCUCAGAAGCGAAGCAGGAUCGGGCCUGGUUAGUAAAAUACUUGAAUGGGAGACCACCUAGGAAGACUGGGUAUUAUAGGCA